AAGGGAGAAAAGUAGGACGUUUCCUCCCGCGUGUAAAAUUUCAAACACGCGGGAUGAGAUGUCCUACUUUUUUCCCGC
Molecule: non-coding RNA, 78 nt
Organism: Bombyx mori (domestic silkworm)
Lineage: Eukaryota; Metazoa; Arthropoda; Insecta; Lepidoptera; Bombycidae
Source: RefSeq, marked provisional